This 745-nucleotide ribosomal RNA is filed under the name uncultured bacterium. RNAcentral describes it as "bacterial SSU rRNA". It matches the Rfam family "Bacterial small subunit ribosomal RNA", at positions 33 to 773 of the family's 1533-position model. The record is from RNAcentral.
ACGCUGGCGGCAGGCCUAACACAUGCAAGUCGAGCGGUAGAGAGAAGCUUGCUUCUCUUGAGAGCGGCGGACGGGUGAGUAAUGCCUAGGAAUCUGCCUGGUAGUGGGGGAUAACGUUCGGAAACGGACGCUAAUACCGCAUACGUCCUACGGGAGAAAGCAGGGGACCUUCGGGCCUUGCGCUAUCAGAUGAGCCUAGGUCGGAUUAGCCAGUUGGUGGGGUAAUGGCUCACCAAGGCGACGAUCCGUAACUGGUCUGAGAGGAUGAUCAGUCACACUGGAACUGAGACACGGUCCAGGCUCCUACGGGAGGCAGCAGUGGGGAAUAUUGGACAAUGGGCGAAAGCCUGAUCCAGCCAUGCCGCGUGUGUGAAGAAGGUCUUCGGAUUGUAAAGCACUUUAAGUUGGGAGGAAGGGUUGUAGAUUAAUACUCUGCAAUUUUGACGUUACCGACAGAAUAAGCACCGGCUAACUCUGUGCCAGCAGCCGCGGUAAUACAGAGGGUGCAAGCGUUAAUCGGAAUUACUGGGCGUAAAGCGCGCGUAGGUGGUUAGUUAAGUUGGAUGUGAAAUCCCCGGGCUCAACCUGGGAACUGCAUUCAAAACUGACUGACUAGAGUAUGGUAGAGGGUGGUGGAAUUUCCUGUGUAGCGGUGAAAUGCGUAGAUAUAGGAAGGAACACCAGUGGCGAAGGCGACCACCUGGACUGAUACUGACACUGAGGUGCGAAAGCGUGGGGAGCAAAC